This 73-nucleotide transfer RNA is filed under the name Candidatus Rifleibacteriota bacterium. RNAcentral describes it as "tRNA-His". It matches the Rfam family "tRNA". Rfam says of the family: Transfer RNA (tRNA) molecules are approximately 80 nucleotides in length. Their secondary structure includes four short double-helical elements and three loops (D, anti-codon, and T loops). Lineage: Bacteria; Candidatus Rifleibacteriota. The record is from RNAcentral.
GACAAAGUAGCACAAUUGGUAGUGCACAAGAUUGUGGCUCUUGCGGUUGUGGGUUCGAGUCCCAUCUUUGUCC